AUCCAGCUGACGUGUGCUAAAUAGAACGAAACGCGUGUUCUGGAU
This 45-nucleotide non-coding RNA is filed under the name Schistosoma haematobium. The record is from RNAcentral. Lineage: Eukaryota; Metazoa; Platyhelminthes; Trematoda; Strigeidida; Schistosomatidae.